RNAcentral lists this microRNA precursor (83 nucleotides) under Cricetulus griseus (Chinese hamster). Its description in RNAcentral is "miRNA (ENSCGRG00000021681.1)". The record is from RNAcentral. Lineage: Eukaryota; Metazoa; Chordata; Mammalia; Rodentia; Cricetidae.
CAACUUGUGACACUCAACCUGGGGGAUCUUUUGGGUUUUUUUUUGGAAGAAAAGUGCCGCCAGGUUUUGAGUGUUACUGAUUG